This 641-nucleotide ribosomal RNA is filed under the name uncultured bacterium. RNAcentral describes it as "bacterial SSU rRNA". It matches the Rfam family "Bacterial small subunit ribosomal RNA", at positions 133 to 774 of the family's 1533-position model. The record is from RNAcentral.
UAUCUGGGGAUAGCCUUUCGAAAGGAAGAUUAAUACCCCAUAAUAUAUUUUACGGCAUCGUGGAAUAUUGAAAACUCCGGUGGAUAGAGAUGGGCACGCGCAAGAUUAGAUAGUUGGUGAGGUAACGGCUCACCAAGUCAGUGAUCUUUAGGGGGCCUGAGAGGGUGAUCCCCCACACUGGUACUGAGACACGGACCAGACUCCUACGGGAGGCAGCAGUGAGGAAUAUUGGACAAUGGGUGCAAGCCUGAUCCAGCCAUCCCGCGUGAAGGACUAAGGCCCUAUGGGUUGUAAACUUCUUUUAUACUGGGAUAAACCUACUUACGUGUAAGUAGCUGAAGGUACAGUAUGAAUAAGCACCGGCUAACUCCGUGCCAGCAGCCGCGGUAAUACGGAGGGUGCAAGCGUUAUCCGGAUUUAUUGGGUUUAAAGGGUCCGUAGGCGGAUCUGUAAGUCAGUGGUGAAAUCUCAUAGCUUAACUAUGAAACUGCCAUUGAUACUGCAGGUCUUGAGUGAGAUUGAGGUAGCUGGAAUAAGUAGUGUAGCGGUGAAAUGCAUAGAUAUUACUUAGAACACCAAUUGCGAAGGCAGGUUACCAAGUCUUAACUGACGCUGAGGGACGAAAGCGUGGGGAGCGAAAC